This is an unclassified non-coding RNA of Callithrix jacchus (white-tufted-ear marmoset), 300 nucleotides long. It matches the Rfam family "Metazoan signal recognition particle RNA". Rfam says of the family: The signal recognition particle (SRP) is a universally conserved ribonucleoprotein. It is involved in the co-translational targeting of proteins to membranes. NCBI's taxonomy places the organism in Eukaryota, Metazoa, Chordata, Mammalia, Primates, Cebidae. The record is from Ensembl.
GUCGUGCGCGGUGGCGUGUGCCUGGAGUCCCACCUACUCAGGAGGCUGAGAGGGGAGGACUGCUUCAGCCCAGGAGUUCUGGGCUGUAGUGCACUAUGCUGAUCGGGUGUCUGCACUAAGUUCGGCAUCAAUAUGAUGACCUCCUGGGAACAGAGGACCACAAGGUUGCCUAAGGAGGGGUGAACUGGCCCAGGUUGGAAAUGGAGCAGGUCAAAACUCCCAUGCUGAUCAGUAGUGGGAUUGUGCCUGUGAAUAGCCAUUGCACUCCAGCCUGGGCAACACAGCGAGAUACUCUCUCUA